RNAcentral lists this unclassified non-coding RNA (211 nucleotides) under plant metagenome. RNAcentral's name for it is "partial contains small subunit ribosomal RNA, internal transcribed spacer 1, and 5.8S ribosomal RNA". The record is from RNAcentral.
UUUCCGUAGGUGAACCUGCGGAAGGAUCAUUCAUAAUAAAGUGUUUUAUGGCACUUUUUAAAAAUCCAUAUCCACCUUGUGUGCAUUGUUAGAUCUCGUCAAUCUUGGCGAGAUUUUUAUACAUCAACUCAUUCUUUAACUAAUUUGUCUGAAAAAUAUUAUGAAUACUUAAUUCAAAAUACAACUUUCAACAACGGAUCUCUUGGCUCUC